RNAcentral lists this ribosomal RNA (388 nucleotides) under uncultured organism. Its description in RNAcentral is "bacterial SSU rRNA". It matches the Rfam family "Bacterial small subunit ribosomal RNA", at positions 45 to 433 of the family's 1533-position model. The record is from RNAcentral.
UGCUUUACACAUGCAAGUCGAGCGGCAGCGCGGGGCAACCUGGCGGCGAGCGGCGAACGGGUGAGUAAUACAUCGGAACAUGUCCAUUUGUGGGGGAUAGCCCGGCGAAAGCCGGAUUAAUACCGCAUGAGCCCGAGAGGGGAAAGCGGGGGACUUCGCAAGAGGCCUCGCGCGAAUGGAUUGGCCGAUGUCCGAUUAGCUAGUUGGUGGGGUAAUGGCCUACCAAGGCAGUGAUGGCUAGCCGGUCUGAGAGGAUGAUCGGCCACACUGGAACUGAGACACGGUCCAGACUCCUACGGGAGGCAGCAGUAGGGAAUAUUGCGCAAUGGGGGCAACCCUGACGCAGCAAUGCCGCGUGAGUGAGGAAGGCCUUCGGGUUGUAAAACUC